Molecule: RNA transcript, 3890 nt
Organism: Eleginops maclovinus (Patagonian blennie)
Lineage: Eukaryota; Metazoa; Chordata; Actinopteri; Perciformes; Eleginopidae
Gene: vegfaa
Gene name: vascular endothelial growth factor Aa
Exons: 7
Source: RefSeq, a predicted model, not a curated record
ACAGGAGACACAGCGCGAGACGGACUGGUGCCGCUGACCGGGGACAAGUUUACUGCCCCUACACAUAGAACAGGCGCAACAAAACACACUGCGGGAGGAUCACUUUGUUCCGGUACACACCCUUCAUGUUGUGGGAUUAAAGCGCGCAAAGACACACACGGGUGCGUAAAGUUGAUGCGCUUAUCCGCUUCUCCAGAGAACAUUACCACUGAGGUCCAGCAGAGAGUCUUUGUCUGCGGAGGCAGAACUGUGCAGCGCCGCUCGGCUGGAGACAUCGGGAGGAUCUCUGUGAACGCGCCACAUGCUUGUGGAUGAUAUGGAUUUGCUUUUGCUAUAGCCCAGAUUUGCCGCGGUUUUUUUUCCUAUUUAAAUAUUCAGUUUUUCAUCCUUGGACUGUGUGCGUAGUGACACUGUUAGAUUUUAUUUCUCUUUAACGAGCGCAGAGAUUUCAAGACUAAUCGUGCGGAAUUACAACCAUGAACUGUGUUGUCAGUUUGGUACACAUCCUUUUGGCAGCGGUUCUUCACCUUUCCACAGUAAAGACUGCCAGCAUUAACAAGGGAGCGGAGAAGAGUAAGAAUGAGGUCAUCCCUCUCACAGAUGUCCUCAUCAACAGUUUGUGCAAGCCCAGGGAGGUGCUGGUGGACAUCUUCCAGGAGUAUUCAGAGGACACGGAACACACCUACAUUCCCUCCUGUGUGGUGCUCAACCGCUGUGGAGGCUGCUGUAACGACGAAGCAUUGGAAUGUGUUCCUACGGAAACACACAACGUCACGAUGCAGAUAAUGCGUCAUAGACCAAUGGUAACGCAACACAUUAUUCAAUUAAGCUUCACAGAGCACACAUCGUGUAUAUGCAGACGAAAACCAGAUCUUCCAGUAAAGAAAGAAUAGUAACCACUGUGCGCCUUGCUCAGAGAGAAGAAAACGCUUGUUUGUGCAGGACCCUCUCACCUGUAAAUGUUCCUGCAAAUUCACACAGUUAGACUGCAAGUCCAGGCAACUUGAGUUAAACGAAAGAACUUGCAGAUGUGAGAAACCGAGGAGGUGAGACCAGCAACACUGUUAUGAAGGAAUACUUUUCUUGGCUCAGCACUUUGAAAACCUGAGGAUGCAUUCCCUGCCAGGACACGAAACGACAACGCAAGACAGGACAUUCUUAAACGCAACUCUUGCAAGUGUUUGUUUUCCGCCUAAAGAUAUUAAUAUAUAUGUACAUAUACUAAAAGUACAUCGACAAUGUGUAUUGCUGCUACUUAAAAAGAGACACUAUAUAAAGCAAAACGAAUGCGCCGCUGGCGUGUGAACGGGAAAUGUUUCAGUGGCGUUCUGCUCAUGGGUAGAAUUUGUAAGAGAUUUUAUGUGACAUUUCACUGGAUGCUGGUCUGCUGUGGAUAUCUUAAAAUAUUUUGUAGUAACAAAAACGAGCAGUGCAGCAGGAGCCAAGCUCCCCCUCCGAACUCUGACGAAGAAGAAGAAGAAGAAGAAGAAGAAGAAGAAGAAGAAGAAGAAGAAGAAGAAAAAAAGGAGCGCCUGUUGUACUUGAACUUAAAUGCAGGUCCAAGGACUGUUUCCUUCUGCGAAAUGAUGUGAAGCUUUGUCCCCACUGUAUGGACCGACUCUGUGUGGAAACACACCUGAAAAGGUCUCUCAGAGUUUCCUGAAGUCACUGUGGAUGCAGAUGAUGUGCCGUGGUGACGGAUAAAUGUGAAGAUGACCUUCUUUCCUCGUGGGAGGGUUACAUGACAAAGGCAGGAACUGAACCAAAGUGUAGCUAACGGUGAAGCCUAGCAAGAAAAUAGAUUUUAUGUUAAAAUUGGGUUAGGGUUAAGGUUUUUAUUUCAGGGUUAAAGUUAAGAAACCACUUCCUGGUUCUUGACCCGCCUCCUUCAUGUAACCCUUUCCCCCGAUGGGAACCUAGACAUGUCUCUCUCUUUGUGCACAGAGUUUAUUAUUUACAUUUUGAGGUAUUGUGUUUCUUUCACAAAAUGUCUUGCGACCAGGCUGUCUAAAGGGAUAUUACUGUAAGUAUAUACGGAGACAAGCAGUGAACAGACAAGCCGAUCACAUCAGAUCAGCACUCACUGUACAAAUCCACAAACUUCCUUAUUUAAUGGCUUUGUGUGUGUUCCAAAGAAAAAAAUCAGGCAUCCACAGAAAACAUAAACGAUCUGUAUAUACUUACUAGAUAUCCCUUUGUCUAGUACACUUCAUUUUUAUUUAUAGAAAGCGCUCAGUAUUCUGCAUACUGAUAUUUAUAUUCAGUGUUAAGGUUAUUUUUUAAAUUGUUUUUCGGAGAUUGAACGGAGAACAUGUAUGACUGUAGACUCCUUUUUUGUGGGAAAAAGGAGUGAUGCUUUGACAUUCCUGAUUUAAACUAAAGCUGUGUUUCUCAGAGGCUAGAGGGGUGGGGUGGGGGGCAAUUAUGGUGGGCCUGUUGACUGAUAUUAACCCCCCACCACCAACAUGUGCCAACACAGGUGUUUUUCAUUUUGGACUGGGGACAUGGACAUGUGGUUUUGCACUUGUUGGCCCAAAGGCACAUCAUAUGGGAGACUGAAGUAGUCUGCUGCUCAGCUCGGACCUAAUUUAGUGAAGACUGUCCAAUCAGACAGGGGCCUCCAGUCUGACGGUGGUAAACUGGCAAAGUGUCUCUAUGACCUCAACCCAGCCUCAUUCCCAAGUAUUACACUGAUCUGUGCUUCAGUAGCCACCCAGCACACAUGUCUUAUGCUACAUUUUGAACGUAUGAGAAAAGAGCUUCCUCAUUCAUGAGCCAUAAUAGAGGAAUAAAUAGGAUAUAAAGUUGAAAAUGAUGAAGAAACAAUAUAAUAUCAUUUUAAAAAUAAUUUACAGAUGUUUUAUAUUAUAUAAAUUAAUUUCAAUUUCAGGUCACUGAUGUGCCUCCAUAUAUAAUGUAUAUCGUAUAUCUGUCUCAGAUUGAUGAUUAGGAGCUGCGCUUCUACAUCAUCUAAUUCUGAUACUCUUUUUUUGUAGAGGCGGUACACGACUCAAAUUAGCCUACAAGAAAAAUUUGCGAUUUCUGAUAUUUAUCUAAUUACAUGUAGCCUGACAGUCAUUCAAAUGUGCACUAAAACAACUGAAACAUUACAUUUCAUUUAAAGGUCUCCUAGGUGGCUUGUACGGCAUUAGAAAGCACCGUAGUUGGUGGUUUCUAAUGCCGUACAAGCCACAAAUGACAUCAAAGAUGAACUUUACAUCAUUUAUGAACCGAAACCGAUUUCACCCAUUUUUUAGCAGCUUUCACAUACUUGGAUCAGGAGGGAAAGAGAGACAACUUUUUUUGCUGACACUUUCUGAGUCUCUUAACACACAGGGGAGACAUUAUAUAUAUAUAUAUAUAUAUAUAUAUAUGUAUUAAAGACAUACAAAAGUGCAUUUUGCACAAUAGGGGACCUUUAAAUAACAAAUAGUAAGUUCAACUUAAUAUCAUUGCUUUCAACUAACCUAAUACAGUUAUAUGACAUUUGUUGACAUUUAAUUAAAGUCAAUGUUUCUAAUUAGACUAGCUGCGAGGCCCUAUACAAUAUGUCAGCAGUGGUCCGAAGAGGGGUCGAGACUCAUAGUGAGUGAUCCGUUCCUGCUCAGACUUGAGUCAUUUUUCUGCGAUAUAGAGGUUGUAGCUGAGCGUCAGUCUGCCACCCUCACACUGAGGCCUGAGAGUGUUCCCUGAACACACCCUCCACUUCUCUGAUGACGACAACAUUCUAUUUGUAUUUAAAAGUGACAGACUUUUUCUUGAGUUUGUACAGCCACACAUUUUUAGUAUAUUUUCACGUUAAUAUAUUUAUUGCUGUAAAAUGUUUUACAAUAUUAAUACUCUUUUUGUUGUUUUUAGUGUAAGUAUUAAACAUAUUUAUUUUGAAAAAA